RNAcentral lists this unclassified non-coding RNA (2211 nucleotides) under Hevea brasiliensis (rubber tree). The record is from RNAcentral. Lineage: Eukaryota; Viridiplantae; Streptophyta; Magnoliopsida; Malpighiales; Euphorbiaceae.
CGAAAGCAAUGAUUAAUCAUGAUAGAUAAAAUUACCCUUGCAAGGUGAAUUGUCAAAUGAAAGCGAGGAUGGAAGAAGCAAGAUCAAUUUCUGUUCUCGGGGAUCUCAUAUCGAUCGUGUGUGUACAGGAAUUAUAUAAAUUAACAUAUCUCUAUAAUUUUAUUAAAGGUGUGUCCUAUAGCAAUGUGUGCAACUGUUUGAAAAAAAAAACUGAAAAUUUUUGAAUCACAUUAAAUGGAGGUUUAGUUAGGGUUUCAAAUUUUGUUUUCUGGCUUCAUUUUAGCGGAGGGCUCCCAUCUAAGCUUUUGGGAGGGAAAACCAUAAAAACCCACAUCACGAUUCACAGGUCAGUUUCUCUUUUAAAGGAAUUAUCAGAUGAGCACUAUAGUACAUAGAACUCCCAAAUCCUCUGGGAGUCGGUCAUUAUUUUUCCAAGAUUUGGCAUCCCCUGUCUCUGCCCAUAAAGGGAAAUUCUCAACACCAGGUCAGGCAGCUGCAGUAUCUGCUCUAUGGCGUGACAAUUUUGGCGGUUUAGAUCUUCCACCCCCUCCCAUGUAUACCUUGGAGGACCGUUCAGAUUUCUCUCCUAAGUUUGGAAUUCCUGAUUACCCUCCCUCCCCAGAAGUAAAAUCGGACCCAAGAACUCCAAUCCAAAGUUCUGGGAGGGACUUCAUGUCUCCAGCAAAAAGCAAAUCUGAGGCUAGCACUUCAUUUGCUUUGAUGAGUGGUCAACACAAUCAACAAGUUUCAGCAAGUUCACCAUGGUGGUCAUCAACCAAGGCUAGUAGCAGUGAGCAAGAAGAUAAGGGGAAGGGUUCUCCAGUUGAAGGUGUGGUCCAACCUGGUGCUUUGAUCACACUCCCUCCACCGAGGGAAGUUGCAAGACCGGAGAUGCAGAGGAACUGCUUGCGACCAGGGAAUCUUGAUGAGGAAGAAUGGGUUACUGUUUAUGGGUUCUCUCCUGGUGAUACCAAUUUAGUUUUGCGGGAGUUUGAAAGAUGUGGUUUGAUCUUGAAACAUGUUCCUGGUCCAAGGGACGCUAACUGGAUGCACAUUCUUUAUCAGGUUCUACUUGUUUGCUAUAUUAUGUAAUUUGAGGUAGAGGAUUCUUUUUUUAUUUUUGGUUGAUUUAAGUGGAACAGUUGAUAACUGAUAAAUCCAGGAGGUUGAACAUGAUGACAAUGUCACGUUCGUGCAGUUAAUUUUUUGAGAUCUAGAGCAGUGAACUGUUGCACAGAAUUUAUGUAAAACAUGGAAGUGCCUGUGCAUGUUAUUUAUCUUGUUAUGUGUUGGGUAGUUUGUAUAUAAUAGAUAAUGGUUGGUUUUGGCUGUCAUUUCUUAGGGUUCUUUUAAUUUCAAAAUAUGAAAAUGAUAUUUAUAAUCCUAUUUUGUCAGCGUUUACAAAAUGUGCUUACUGUUAUUUGAACUUUUUUAUGAUCUGAAGAAUUCAACUGAGGCUAUAGGUCUGAAAUGCUACUGCUGCUGUCUUUUUUCUCUUCUUCGUUUUCCUGCUCCUUUUUUCAACUUUAAAAAAAGUUUGUUAGUGCUUAUAGAGUAUAGAGUCUAUUGAACAAUGUUAUCCAUCUGUUUUCAUUAGUGUUUACCACAAUUGAGGCCUUGUCUUUCUUAACUUGUAGAUUUUGCUGAUAAGCAUAGGCAAAGUGGAAUUGAGUUUUCCUGUUAAUUUUUUAGCCAAUGAUAUUAAGAUAUGACAUAAUUGUGAGUUUGCUGAUGAUAUAUUUAGCAAGUUAUCAUUAACUGAACUGUCAUUUUCGUUGGUGUAGAGUCAAUCUGAUGCUCAGAAGGCUCUCAGCAAGAACGGGAUGCAAAUAAAUGGGGUGCUAAUAGUAGGCGUGAAACCAGUAGAUCCAAUGCAACGCGAAGCUUUGAAUGAAAGACUUAACAAUCAGGGAUUCAUGACUUUACCCCCACCACCAUCUAGAAGUGCAGAUUUGAAGACAAUAAGAGCUUCUUCUCGCCCCUACUAUCUUCAAAAUGGCAGUGGCAGCACCCAGCAGUCAGCAGUUGCCAUUGCUUCCCCAACCAAGUCUAUGGUAUCCAAAAUCUUUGAUGUGAUGUUUGGCAUUUAGGUUAAUUUUCUGUUCAUGGGUAUGGCUUUUAUUAUCUUCUACGGUGAGAUGCAUGACGGCUUUUGGCAAUUCAGGUAUAAGGUUGAGAGUCUUGGAUAUCUUUUCCAUGUGAGAGUUGUAU